UUUAAUGAGAGUUUGAUCCUGGCUCAGGACGAACGCUGGCGGCGUGCCUAAUACAUGCAAGUAGAACGCUGAGGUUUGGUGUUUACACUAGACUGAUGAGUUGCGAACGGGUGAGUAACGCGUAGGUAACCUGCCUCAUAGCGGGGGAUAACUAUUGGAAACGAUAGCUAAUACCGCAUAAGAGUAAUUAACACAUGUUAGUUAUUUAAAAGGAGCAAUUGCUUCACUGUGAGAUGGACCUGCGUUGUAUUAGCUAGUUGGUGAGGUAAAGGCUCACCAAGGCGACGAUACAUAGCCGACCUGAGAGGGUGAUCGGCCACACUGGGACUGAGACACGGCCCAGACUCCUACGGGAGGCAGCAGUAGGGAAUCUUCGGCAAUGGACGGAAGUCUGACCGA
This 399-nucleotide ribosomal RNA is filed under the name Streptococcus agalactiae. Its description in RNAcentral is "bacterial SSU rRNA". It matches the Rfam family "Bacterial small subunit ribosomal RNA", at positions 1 to 390 of the family's 1533-position model. The record is from RNAcentral. RNAcentral also lists the same sequence under 1 other name. Lineage: Bacteria; Bacillati; Bacillota; Bacilli; Lactobacillales; Streptococcaceae.